ACAGGCUGGGGAAGGUGAAGGGAGGAAGUAUAGAGUCGGAGGCUUUUUCGGGUAGAGCGGCGCCGCUUCCUGUGUUAGGCGCUGAGGUUGAUGGGAAAAUGCGGAUAUCCAGGAAGUGAGAGGAAGGGGUCGCUCUGGGCAGAGGGGGGGUGGGAUCCAUCCCUGGGCAGCAGCUCAUAGACAAAACAGAUUGAUUCCCGGUGACCAUGGCUGUCUACAGCUAUAACCUCUUCUGUGCUGUUGCAAGGUCCAGGGGACCUCAUCUCCUUGUCCACUCCAACUGUUCUCCGUUAUCCCCAUUAGUUGCAUUUGUCCAUCUGGUGGAUUCCCACCUUAAUCGCACACCUCACAGGGACUUUGAAAGCCAACAGCCUUUCUGCAGAAUACGGCCGGGCGUUGGGCUGCCUCACUUGGGGAAUAAGCCUCUGCGAAUGCUUCACACAUCUUCGUACUGGCACCAGGAACUCCAGGACAAGCCUCCGCCUGAUCAAAGCACUACAAAAAUGGACAGUGAGGUGCCCAAGGUUCCCGUUGACCAAGCCACCGCAGUUGCCAAGAAAUCACUCCGACAGAAGAUUGUAGAUGAACUGAAACACUAUUACAAUGGAUUCCACUUGCUUUGGAUAGAUACCAAAGUUGCUGCUAGGAUGGUGUGGAGACUGUUACACGGGCAAGUGCUCACUCGGAGGGAAAGGCGAAGGCUGAUGAGAACGUCUGCUGAUCUCUUCCGACUGGUCCCCUUCCUGGUGUUCAUCAUUGUACCCUUUAUGGAAUUCCUUUUGCCAGUGUUUUUGAAACUGUUCCCUGAAAUGCUUCCUUCAACCUUUGAAACUGAAUCCAAAAAGGAAGAAAAGCAAAGGAAGAAACUGAGUGCCAAGCUGGAGCUAGCCAAGUUCUUACAGGAGACCAUUGCGGAGUUGGCCAGAAGGAACAAAGCCAGUACAGGAGAAGCCACACAGCAAUUCUCUUCCUUUGUUCAAAAGGUUCGACACAGUGGCCAGCAGCCCAGCACCCAGGAGAUUGUACAAUUUUCCAAGCUUUUUGAAGACGAACUGACCCUGGAGCACUUGGAGAGGCCGCAGCUGGUCAUCCUCUGCAAACUGCUGGAACUGCAACCCAUUGGCACCAAUAACCUCCUCCGCUUCCAGCUUUUGAUGAAGCUCAGGACUAUCAAAGCAGACGACGAAAUGAUUUCCAGGGAAGGUGUCAAUGGGCUGAGUGUGUCUGAGCUCCAGGCCGCAUGCAGGACAAGAGGCAUGAGGUCCUUGGGCAUUACGGAGGAGCAGCUGAAGGAACAACUCAACCAGUGGCUGGACCUGCAUCUUAGGGAGAACGUGCCUCCUUCUUUGUUGCUGCUCUCCCGUGCCUUGUAUUUGACAGAGGUGAAGCCCAUACCGAUUUCUGUGACUCCAGCACCUGAGCCUUUCAAGAGCGAGAAAGUACGUGUUGCCGACCAUGAAACCUUGUUGGAUUCUGCUCCUAAAGUCCAGGAAAGAAAGGAGCCUGUGGAUUGUUAAGUGACUUUGUUCCCCCCCUUCUCUUUCCUCUGAAGACUGAAGAAUUUAUUUUGCAGCCAAAAGAGACCUCACCGGUCCCUGAAGUAGCAGUCAAGCCUCCUGGAAGUGAGACAAAAUUAGAAGCCUCUCAAAGCAGCAAAGCCAGUGCUAAUGGAGUCUAACCAUUCUCCUAGCAUGGACUUGAGAAUGGGAGGAAACGGUUCCGUGUCUGGACCUGAUCUAGACUUGCGAAAGACGGGCAUUUAUCGUAGUUGAGCUCCUGUCUGCUUGCAAUUUUCCUCCUUCCUUUGAAACUGCUUUGAUGUGACCUGGAUGAUUUUCUUCGCAUCUAAGCUAGACGAAAAGCACCUUGCAUUUAGUGGCAAACCUCUCUCUGUUUACCUUACUUUGUGUAACGUAACUUAUUUUUUGUAGAUAUGUACAUAAUCUAUGACCAAGACGUACUGUUUAAUUUAUGCAAUAUUGCCAGGUGUUAAGAUUUGUAUUUCCUAAAAGAUUUUAAGUAAAGCAGUGAUUUAUUCUUAGCUUUUCUUUCUAAACAAAAGUCUAAGUAAUGACAGAGCACUUUUGUGUGGGAACAUUCAUGAAUGUUGGACUUCCUAAACCACAUAAGACAAUAUGCUUGGACUUUAAGCUGAUUUGCAGACUGGUCCCAGGCAUCUUUCCUCAGAAUUAACUUGUAUGGAGAUGUUUUUUCAUAUAAAGAAGCACUCCAAAUAUUGGUGCGUAGCCUCCAUGAAACCAGUGGGAUGAUCACAUUCCAAUAACUGUUGGCACAGUGACAUUAGUGGUUCUAUUUAAUGCAUUACUAUGGAGUUCCAUAAGUGUUCCUUUGCAUUUCCCUUUGCAGUGCCUAUAGACCUGUACUAUCUUCUUCUCUCUGUCUCAUUUUGGGGGGGGAAACAGUCACUCCAGUUACUUGUUAUGUGUCGCACAGAGGACCAACGCCAUGGCAAAGUCCAAAAUCACAUCAUUAUUUAAAUAGCUUUCUGAUCAAAGGAUGGAUUAAGCUGUAAGGAUCCAGACCAGCCAGUUAACGUCAGUUGUAACCAUAUUACCUGCUUUAAUUGCAUAUUGAAAUUGCAUUAGCCUAUGGCGGAUGGCUCUGGGAAAGGAGGAAGAGUUUGAAAGGUCUUUACUGUUGGGACCGUGAGGGUCUUCUAAGAGCAGCAAAUGACAGCUAUGGAGUCCAAAAGGUCAAUUUAGCAUAUUUUUGCUGGUCUCAAUGUAGCUGAUUUGCUGGGCAAUGAACGUCAAAACUAAGACACCAGAUGUCCAAUGAUCUUAUGGUGAAUAAUCAAUUUUAAUAUUAUUUUGGUUUUGUCCCGGAAAUCAAUCCUCCUGACAGAUCUUCCAAAGGAACAACAGAAUCAAAAUGUUAGCCUUUUGAACUGUCCCCUCCCCGCUUUCCCUGGGUGAUGCCAAGCUUGGCUCAUUUUAAAAAUCUGCUGUAACUUUUAAAAUAGUAGAUCUGUCUAUUUAGGGCUAGUUUUUUAACCAAACUGACCAGGCAGGAUAUACAGUUGGCUUGGCCUAUUCUAAGACUUCUUUGGAGCUCAAGGGUGUGAUGAGGAUGUGAUUUCUUUGCUUGAGCAGAACCAUAAGCUACUGUUGCUGAGGCAGCUUUUCUAUUUGGUGUGUUACAUUCAGACUUCGCAACUGAAGCCCUGUUUGGGCUGGGCAAGUCCAAUAAAUAGCCAUACUGUGC
Molecule: RNA transcript, 3225 nt
Organism: Anolis carolinensis (green anole)
Lineage: Eukaryota; Metazoa; Chordata; Lepidosauria; Squamata; Anolidae
Gene: letm2
Gene name: leucine zipper and EF-hand containing transmembrane protein 2
Exons: 11
Source: RefSeq, a predicted model, not a curated record